CCUACGGGUGGCUGCAGUGGGGAAUAUUGCACAAUGGGCGCAAGCCUGAUGCAGCCAUGCCGCGUGUGUGAAGAAGGCCUUCGGGUUGUAAAGCACUUUCAGCGGGGAGGAAGGCGUUAAGGUUAAUAACCUUGGCGAUUGACGUUACCCGCAGAAGAAGCACCGGCUAACUCCGUGCCAGCAGCCGCGGUAAUACGGAGGGUGCAAGCGUUAAUCGGAAUUACUGGGCGUAAAGCGCACGCAGGCGGUCUGUCAAGUCGGAUGUGAAAUCCCCGGGCUCAACCUGGGAACUGCAUUCGAACUGGCAGGCUAGAGGCUUGUAGAGGGGGGGAGAAUUCCAGGUGUAGCGGUGAAAUGCGUAGAGAUCUGGAGGAAUACCGGUGGCGAAGGCGGCCCCCUGGACAAAGACUGACGGUCAGGUGCGAAAGCGGGGGGAGGAAACAGGAUUAGAUACCCUAGUAGUC
RNAcentral lists this ribosomal RNA (464 nucleotides) under uncultured Klebsiella sp. RNAcentral's name for it is "bacterial SSU rRNA". It matches the Rfam family "Bacterial small subunit ribosomal RNA", at positions 338 to 795 of the family's 1533-position model. Lineage: Bacteria; Pseudomonadati; Pseudomonadota; Gammaproteobacteria; Enterobacterales; Enterobacteriaceae. The record is from RNAcentral.